This 180-nucleotide unclassified non-coding RNA is filed under the name uncultured Rhizobiaceae bacterium. Its description in RNAcentral is "partial 16S-23S ribosomal RNA intergenic spacer". The record is from RNAcentral. Lineage: Bacteria; Pseudomonadati; Pseudomonadota; Alphaproteobacteria; Hyphomicrobiales; Rhizobiaceae.
CUCUUUCUUCAUUAGGAUAUGUCCUCACGGCGAGCGCGAUCUUCGAUCGCUGCCUCCGGACGGGGCGCCAGACGACUGGCGACGGCCUCUGGCCUGUAUGGGCGAGCGUCACUGACGUCGAGUUCGUAGAGAUCGGGCCUGUAGCUCAGUUGGUUAGAGCACACGCNUGAUAAGCGUGGG